This 462-nucleotide ribosomal RNA is filed under the name uncultured Acidimicrobiales bacterium. RNAcentral's name for it is "bacterial SSU rRNA". It matches the Rfam family "Bacterial small subunit ribosomal RNA", at positions 918 to 1382 of the family's 1533-position model. The record is from RNAcentral. Lineage: Bacteria; Bacillati; Actinomycetota; Acidimicrobiia; Acidimicrobiales.
UCCCCGCACAAGCGGCGGAGCAUGCGGCUUAAUUCGAUGCAACCCGAAGAACCUUACCUGGGCUUGACAUCAUGGGAAAAGCCGUAGAGAUACGGUGUGCAUUAGCGUCCAUGACAGGUGGUGCAUGGCUGUCGUCAGCUCGUGUCGUGAGAUGUUGGGUUAAGUCCCGCAACGAGCGCAACCCUUGUCCUAUGUUGCCAGCGGUUCGGCCGGGGACUCAUAGGAGACUGCCGGGGACAACUCGGAGGAAGGUGAGGACGACGUCAAGUCAUCAUGCCCCUUAUGUCCAGGGCUGCACGCAUGCUACAAUGGCCGGUACAACGGGCUGCGAUCCCGCGAGGGUGAGCGAAUCCCUUAAAGCCGGCCUCAGUUCGGAUUGGAGUCUGCAACUCGACUCCAUGAAGUCGGAGUCGCUAGUAAUCGCGGAUCAGCAAAGCCGCGGUGAAUGCGUUCUCGGGGAUU